Molecule: transfer RNA, 75 nt
Filed under: Schistocerca americana (American grasshopper)
Lineage: Eukaryota; Metazoa; Arthropoda; Insecta; Orthoptera; Acrididae
Description: tRNA-Ser
Rfam family: tRNA
About the family: Transfer RNA (tRNA) molecules are approximately 80 nucleotides in length. Their secondary structure includes four short double-helical elements and three loops (D, anti-codon, and T loops). Further hydrogen bonds mediate the characteristic L-shaped molecular structure. tRNAs have two regions of fundamental functional importance: the anti-codon, which is responsible for specific mRNA codon recognition, and the 3' end, to which the tRNAs corresponding amino acid is attached (by aminoacyl-tRNA synthetases). tRNAs cope with the degeneracy of the genetic code in two manners: having more than one tRNA (with a specific anti-codon) for a particular amino acid; and 'wobble' base-pairing, i.e. permitting non-standard base-pairing at the 3rd anti-codon position.
Source: RNAcentral
UGCUUGGGUAGCUCAGUUGGUAGAGCACUUGCCCGGGAAAGGCAAAGGUCCCGAGUUCGAGUCUCGGUCCGGCAU